Molecule: ribosomal RNA, 451 nt
Filed under: uncultured bacterium
Lineage: Bacteria
Description: partial 16S ribosomal RNA
Rfam family: Bacterial small subunit ribosomal RNA
Source: RNAcentral
GUGGGGAAUAUUGGACAAUGGGGGGAACCCUGAUCCAGCCAUGCCGCGUGUGUGAAGAAGGCCUUUUGGUUGUAAAGCACUUUAAGCGAGGAGGAGGCUACCGAGAUUAAUACUCUUGGAUAGUGGACGUUACUCGCAGAAUAAGCACCGGCUAACUCUGUGCCAGCAGCCGCGGUAAUACAGAGGGUGCAAGCGUUAAUCGGAUUUACUGGGCGUAAAGCGCGCGUAGGUGGCCAAUUAAGUCAAAUGUGAAAUCCCCGAGCUUAACUUGGGAAUUGCAUUCGAUACUGGUUGGCUAGAGUAUGGGAGAGGAUGGUAGAAUUCCAGGUGUAGCGGUGAAAUGCGUAGAGAUCUGGAGGAAUACCGAUGGCGAAGGCAGCCAUCUGGCCUAAUACUGACACUGAGGUGCGAAAGCAUGGGGAGCAAACAGGAUUAGAAAUCCGGGUAGUCC